This is a long non-coding RNA of Planococcus citri (citrus mealybug), 1123 nucleotides long. RefSeq lists it as uncharacterized. Lineage: Eukaryota; Metazoa; Arthropoda; Insecta; Hemiptera; Pseudococcidae. The record is from RefSeq and is a predicted model, not a curated record. The transcript is spliced from 3 exons.
CUGCGUUAAUUGCCGAUUUCAUUGGUGUUUUAUUUGGCAAAAAAAUGCGAUUUUUAAAGAUGUGUCGAGAUCUCUUUCGCCUAAAUGUCAAAUUACAGCGCGUGAAUUCAUAUUUCAAAGUAAAUGGUGAUAAUGUACAAGAUUGCUGGAAAAAUUUAAAUGAAUCCGAUAAGAAAUUAUUUUCGUUUGAUGUAAAUGACAUUGUGUGGGAUGAGUACGCCGCAGUGGCUUUUGAUUCCAUUCGAAAGUAUCUUAGUGCGCAUAUUGAAACACAUGAAAAAAUUCGAUUAGCAGUAUUUUGGGUACCUAAAAUACGAUUUGCAUUCAAAGCAUUGUACUGUGUCUUGGGAGUGUAUUGUAUUCGUUUCAUUUACACGUGGUUGGUUUAGUAAUAAUUACAAACGGAAGCAGCAAAUUUAAAAUACCUAGAAAUACGUAUUUACUCAUUAAUUCUUGUUGCUAAUUUAAGUUCCCAAAUUUUAAGCAUGUAGGUAUUUUAUAAAAUGCACAAUUAUGAACAUUGAACUAACGAGUGGAUAUUAUUGUAAAUUUUUAAUUUGAAACAUUUACCCAUAGACUAUCUUGAUUGAGGAAGUUACAAGGGAUAAAUAGCGCUACCUAUAUUGAAGAAUUUUUCAAAAAGCUCAAUUUUGAGACAAUCCCCCCCCCACACGCUGCCGUUUGUUGUAAUGAAUUUCGCAAACCAAAUAAUCCCCCGAGCAACCCAUUUCCUACUCAUUUACUCGAAUCUGAUGCUUAUAAAUGCACUUUUUUGCCCUCAACAUUGAAUCUCAGCCUUGUCAGUGAAUUCAAAGCUAGGUAGUUUCCAAGCGAACGAAGAAUGAGCUGUGGUUUGCGGGAAUGAAUUCGUCGUCCCAAAAACCCCCGUUGGACAGCAAUCUGGAAUUUCAAUUCGCAAACUCACGCCCACCUUUCAUUUCAUACACACUAGUGUGCAGUUUCAGGAGGGGUGGCGCGAGUUCCCACAAUGCACGCAAGCAGCAACGAUUUUGGACUAAUUUUGGGUCACUGAUUUCGAAUUUGCCGUUUUAAACAUGGUGCAUUUUACAAGUGAUUUAUCCGAAAUUACACGAGUAGGUAGUAGGUCUAGGUACCUAUAUAU